UUACCGUUUCACUACUCAUUGGCGAAUUGCAUGAUGCGCAGACAUUUCGACAAUUGUUUGUAUGGCCCCAAGGUGGGACGAUGAUGCGUAGGUGUGCUAUAUAUACACACAUACAUAUGUAUGAGUGUUUGGGUAAUAUUGACGGGCGAUCGUCUAAAUUUAUGUUGAUCUAUAUAGUAAGAUUACAAAAAUAUAUAUGUAUAUAGAACUUGUAUAGAUAAAGCGAAUUGCCAAUAAAUCACAAGUAACAAAAUUUAUACUUCAAGUUAAAUACACAAACAGACACAUAUGUACAUACAAAUAUGAACACAUCUUGACAAACAUAUGUACACAUUUAAGUAUAUAUUUACUCUGUGAAGAUGUACACAGAGCAAUGCAUGUAAAUAUAAAGGUGAUCGUGGCAAUGAAUGCUGUUUUCUUAGUACGAAGAAACAAAUCGCAUUGCUGUCAGCCUCAAUUAUUCGCUCAUUUUGUGAAAAAAAGUUUAAUUGUUUGCUUUCACAAGCAAUUUCGUAAGAAAUUUUCGCAAGGAAUCUCAAUGUCCGUAAAGUGGAGGAUGGCGGAAUGCCGAAGUGGGUUGGGUGUCAACCGAAAUUGAGAGGGAUUAACGGAAAUCCAAUACAAACUAAAUAUACUAUCACGCCAACAAAUACAAAUAGUUUUUAAAAAAUUCUAAAUUAAAUAUUUUUUUAAAUUUAUUAUACGCUUUCAAAGCCUUAUACUAUUACUAUCCACUAUUAUUAUUAAACUAUUUAUUUUAGCAACAGCAAGCGUUCGUAAAUUCGCAGCAAUUAACAACGAAAUGCUACUAAAGCAGAUCACAUGAAAUCAAUCAAUCUGUAGAAGCAGGAGAGCCGAACAAUAGCAAAGCACACUAAUCUCCACUCCAUUGCACAGAGAUUACGCUAAUCUUUUGUCUUAUCUUCUUAUGUCUUGUCGAUUUUUUAUAUUUUUAGUUUCCUUACUUUCACACAUAAUACUUUGGCGAUAAUUUUUUUUUUUGUUUUUGAGCGAAAAAAACGAUGCAUUGCCAUAGUGGCGUUGCGGCGGUAACCUUAAAAAUUGUCGGCACGCAUCUGAGGUUCGGCUGCAGCUCGUGUUAAUUACACUGUACAGUUGUGAAAUGUUUAUAACGAAAUCGGUGAGAAAUAUUAUAAUGUUACUAGCAAAAUUGUGUUGUGAUAUGUUUCUACGAUAUUCAUUUAGAUUUCACGAAACGAAAUAACUUCUCUUCGCUAAAUUAACUUCGCUAAUUGACUCAAUUAAGGCUCAACCUAAUAGCCUUUUCGCAUUUAGUUUAUAUUUGAGAAAUCAGUUUUUGCCUUUCGCACAGCCAGUUACUCGAUUAUAUAUUUUUGUUUGUGCUGUUCAUAAGAAGUUAGUUAGAAGUUAGAUUCAUCAGCUGGUUGCUAUUUUGUCAAUAACCAAAAAUUAGUAGCGUUGUCAACAAACCGCAGAAUGGCACUCCAUUGUCUACUCGAUUUGUAUUCGAUUAAAGAUUAAUGUUGAAAAAUUAUAUUUUAAUUUAGUAUGGUAAAUCGAUCUAAAUCAACGAGAUAAUCGAGCAAUGGCUGGUUAAAUGAUCAAUUAACUGCUGUGCGAAAAUGAACAAUGUUCAAGAACAUUUAAAAUUCAUAAUUUCAGAGAAGGAAUUAUUUUUUAGGAGAUGCCUUCCUCGCAAGGUAAUUAUUUAAAAAAGGUAUCGUCAGUACCUAUGAAAUUAUAGGUUCGUAUUUUUUCAUAAUUUCGAAACAAAUAAAAUAACAGAGACAUACUUGAAUAUAAAAAUGGCAUAAAUGAACUCGAAAAAAAACUGCGAAUGCCGUAACAGUAAUCUAUUAAAUCUCAUAACCAGUAAAGAAUUCUUGAAAGUAUGAGCUUAUUUCUGUUAAUUGUGUCAAUAAUACACUUUAAAACGAUGACACAGAUCGAAAGCAAACAAUUUUUAUUGAACUCAAACUCUUCACGUUGUUUCACAGUGUAGCAUUGUGAUUCAUUGGUCACUUUAUGCAUUUCGCAAAUCGUCUGCCACACUUCACAGCACCGCACAUACCGCACACUCUCUCAUCGUGUCAGUGCAUUGCGUUGUUGCUAUUGUUUUUGUUUUUCAUCGCUCUAUUAGAUAACCGUUUUGCAGUGUAGCAUUAGAGGAAAAUAUUGAAAAUCUCCUGUGAUUUUAUGACGAGUGAAUUUAUGUUUUUUAACAGUAUUUCGCAACUGAACACCUUACAUACACACAUAUAUACCGCUACAAGUGUACAUAUGUACUAUAUGGUAGCGCCUGCAAAGCGCACGGCGCCGUUAAUGGUAAUAAUUUACUCACCUUGAGUAGACUUUUUGGUGGCGCAUCCGCUGGAUCGGGUCUUUUGAUAUUCAAAAACGAGUUCCGCACAUCCGGACACUUCUCGAACAUUAGCACACGCUCUGCCACCGAGCCGCGCGUAAGUAUCGGUCGACCAACUAGUUGAGCAGAUAAAUGCUUGUGAUUAAUAUUCAAAUUUUCAAAACGUUGCUAAAUCUUUGAAUAUGUGAAUAUGUACAUAUGUAUGUAUGUCAAUGGGGUAAAUACUUUUUUGCUGCCGCUUUACCAUAUUUGUCCUGUCCAUUGGUCAGCGUACGUCCAGUUUUGGCAAAUUUACUAGGUGUAGUUGUUGUCGCGCCACUUGUUGCCGCAGGCAUAGCUGCCAUACCGUUCUCACCCGUAGCGCCACCAAUUGUAGAGCCUGUCGCUGCUGCUCCUGUACCGUUGCUAUUAGCCGUUUUUGUAUCCUUUUUAGUGCUC
Zeugodacus cucurbitae (melon fly) is the source of this 2782-nucleotide long non-coding RNA. RefSeq lists it as uncharacterized. The record is from RefSeq and is a predicted model, not a curated record. Lineage: Eukaryota; Metazoa; Arthropoda; Insecta; Diptera; Tephritidae. The transcript is spliced from 2 exons.